Molecule: ribosomal RNA, 385 nt
Filed under: uncultured bacterium
Lineage: Bacteria
Description: bacterial SSU rRNA
Rfam family: Bacterial small subunit ribosomal RNA
Source: RNAcentral
AUUGAACGCUGGCGGAAUGCUUUACACAUGCAAGUCGAACGGCAGCACGAGAGCUUGCUCUUGGUGGCGAGUGGCGAACGGGUGAGUAAUAUAUCGGAACGUAUCCAAUAAUGGGGGAUAACUAAUCGAAAGGUUAGCUAAUACCGCAUACGCCCUACGGGGAAAGCAGGGGAUCUUCGGACCUUGCGUUAAUGGAGCGGCUGAUAUCUGAUUAGCUAGUAGGUGAGGUAAAGGCUCACCUAGGCUUCGAUCAGUAGCUGGUCUGAGAGGACGACCAGCCACACUGGAACUGAGACACGGUCCAGACUCCUACGGGAGGCAGCAGUGGGGAAUUUGGACAAUGGGGGCAACCUGAUCCAGCAAUGCCGCGUGAGUGAAGAAGGCC